Molecule: ribosomal RNA, 598 nt
Filed under: uncultured Synechococcus sp.
Lineage: Bacteria; Bacillati; Cyanobacteriota; Cyanophyceae; Synechococcales; Synechococcaceae
Description: bacterial SSU rRNA
Rfam family: Bacterial small subunit ribosomal RNA
Source: RNAcentral
CGGCGUGCUUACACACUGACAAGUCGAACGAACCUUCGGGUUAGUGGCGGACGGGUGAGUAACGCAAUCUGCCCUCAGGAGGGGGACAACAGUUGGAAACGACUGCUAAUACCCCAUAUGCCGCGAGGUGAAAUGAAUUUCGCCUGAGGAUGAGCUCGCGUCUGAUUAGCUAGUUGGUGUAGUAAUGGCUCACCAAGGGCAUCGAUCAGUACCUGGUCUGAGAGGAUGAUCAGCCACACUGGGACUGAGACACGGCCCAGACUCCUACGGGAGGCAGACAGUGGGGAAUUUUCCGCAAUGGGCGAAAGCCUGACGGAGCAACGCCGCGUGAGGGAUGAAGGCCUCUGGGCUGUAAAACUCUUUUAUCAAGGAAGAAGAUCUGACGGUACUUGAUGAAUAAGCCACGGCUAAUUCCGUGCCAGCAGCCGCGGUAAUACGGGAGUGGCAAGCGUUAUCCGGAAUUAUUGGGCGUAAAGCGUCCGCAGGCGGCCUUCAAGUCUGCUGUUCACAAACGUGGAGCUUAACUCCAUCAUGGCAGUGGAAACUGUUGGGCAUUGAGUGUGGAAAGGGGCAGAGGGAAUUCCCGGGUGUAACGAGU